AACGAACGCUGGCGGCAUGCCUAACACAUGCAAGUCGAACGAGACCUUCGGGUCUAGUGGCGCACGGGUGCGUAACGCGUGGGAACCUGCCCUUAGGUUCGGAAUAACUCCCCGAAGGGGGUGCUAAUACCGGAUAAUGUCUUCGGACCAAAGAUUUAUCGCCUUUGGAUGGGCCCGCGUUGGAUUAGCUAGUUGGUAGGGUAAAAGCCUAUCAAGGCGACGAUCCAUAGCUGGUCUGAGAGGAUGAUCAGCCACACUGGGACUGAGACACGGCCCAGACUCCUACGGGAGGCAGCAGUGGGGAAUAUUGGACAAUGGGCGAAAGCCUGAUCCAGCAAUGCCGCGUGAGUGAUGAAGGCCUUAGGGUUGUAAAGCUCUUUUACCCGGGAUGAUAAUGACAGUACCGGGAGAAUAAGCUCCGGCUAACUCCGUG
RNAcentral lists this ribosomal RNA (433 nucleotides) under uncultured bacterium. RNAcentral describes it as "partial 16S ribosomal RNA". It matches the Rfam family "Bacterial small subunit ribosomal RNA", at positions 29 to 507 of the family's 1533-position model. The record is from RNAcentral.